UACGGGGGGGGCAAGCGUUGUUCGGAAUUACUGGGCGUAAAGGGUUCGUAGGUGGCCUGCUAAGUCAGACGUGAAAUCCCUCAGCUUAACUGGGGAACUGCGUCUGAUACUGGAAGGCUUGAGUGCAGGAGAGGAACGCGGAAUUCCAGGUGUAGCGGUGAAAUGCGUAGAUAUCUGGAGGAACACCGGUGGCGAAGGCGGCGUUCUGGACUGCAACUGACACUGAUGAACGAAAGCCAGGGGAGCAAACGGG
RNAcentral lists this ribosomal RNA (253 nucleotides) under uncultured bacterium. RNAcentral's name for it is "partial 16S ribosomal RNA". It matches the Rfam family "Bacterial small subunit ribosomal RNA", at positions 524 to 776 of the family's 1533-position model. The record is from RNAcentral.